AUGCCCUGUUUCCUGAAGUUUGUGUCAUUUGUGCUUGUUGUUCUCUGUCGGCUCUCGUCCAGCUAUGACUUUGCACGCAGUGGAUCGAAGAACUUCGACCUCCGGACAGUGGUCCUGCUCAUCAUCGGUGGCAGCAUCCUGAUAGCCAUAAUCAUACUGACCGGCAUUGUCAUAGGCCUGUACGUCAAAGUGUCCAAAGUGCUGAUAGCUGCAAAGGAACUUUUGUGUGUAAACAGUCAUUUAGCCAAGGACACGCAGGACCACAUCAUUCCUGUGAAAGCUUUCACCACGGAUUCCUGUCGUGCGCUCCCAUGCUGUGACGACUGUAACGUGUAUGCGAAUUUCGAUCCCCUGCCACCUUGCUCCUGUGCAACCAACGAGGGACUCUGACUCGGGAAAUGUGGGCACUAAAAUCUUCAUGAGCAGUAUUUCCCUCUUAUUAGAAUGUCCUACUAUCCAAUCAGGUUCUGUAGUAUUUACAUUACACGAUUUCUGUACAAUGUUAUUUUAUGUGCUUUUGAGUAAAUGUAUGGUAUUAAAGAGAACCUGUGUCUAGUGUCGCAUUCGCUGUCAACAUCCCUGUUCAAGAGUACGCGUUACCCACGAGGACCUGGAGCAAGGUGUUGGGGCCGUUACGCUGCCAGGAAGAAGGAGAGCCCGCGAGGACAGUCCCUGUUGGUCUUGGGGCGUUUGCAGUCUGAGCCCUGGCCAACUGUGCCAGGCUGGGGUGGAGCGCCGGGCUCCUGCCCCCCACCCAGCUCCUCCCUGCAGACUGUGCUGCGUUGUCCUGAAGGGGGCGCCAUGGGUUGGGCGAGACGGAGGUCAGGCAGGCAGGACAUCUCUGGUGAAAAUGGUCUGCCCUGGUCCUGAUGGGGCUGAGCUCAGCGUCCUCAAGAGAACUCAGAAGACCUGCGAUCCCUCCUGCUCACGCCUGCCUUCGCCCUGACAUGGGUCUGUGCUGACCUGGCCACCCGUGUCUGCAGUGGCCCGGGGACCUCCAGCCCAAGGCGAAAGCCCAGGCUCCCUUGACCACAGCGGGGGCAGUGCUUCUGCUCUGCAGCCCCCUGUGUCCUGGCUCCUUCCGCGGAGCCUCCCGGAGCACACACUGGUCAGCAGGGACAGUGGACUCCUCC
Molecule: long non-coding RNA, 1133 nt
Filed under: Oryctolagus cuniculus (rabbit)
Lineage: Eukaryota; Metazoa; Chordata; Mammalia; Lagomorpha; Leporidae
Description: lncRNA (ENSOCUG00000021043.3)
Source: RNAcentral